This 73-nucleotide transfer RNA is filed under the name Phytophthora infestans (potato late blight agent). It matches the Rfam family "tRNA". From Rfam's summary of the family: Transfer RNA (tRNA) molecules are approximately 80 nucleotides in length. Their secondary structure includes four short double-helical elements and three loops (D, anti-codon, and T loops). Lineage: Eukaryota; Oomycota; Peronosporomycetes; Peronosporales; Peronosporaceae. The record is from Rfam by way of RNAcentral.
ACCCGUCUAGCUCAGUCGGUAGAGCGCUGGCCUUUUAAGCCAGUGGUCGUGGGUUCGAGUCCCACGGGGGGUG